UUAAGAAUCUUGCGCAAUGGGCGAAAGCCUGACGCAGCGACGCCGCGUGGAGGAUGACGGCCCUCGGGUUGUAAACUCCUUUUCUGUGGGAAGAUAAUGACGGUACCGCAGGAAUAAGCCCCGGCCAAUUACGUGCCAGCAGCCGCGGUAAUACGUAAGGGGCAAGCGUUGUCCGGAAUCACUGGGCGUAAAGCGCGCGUAGGCGGUUUGAUAAGUCGGGUGUGAAAUCCCCGGGCUUAACCCGGGAACUGCGCCCGAAACUGUCUCACUGGAGGAACGGAGAGGUGCACGGAAUUCCCGGUGUAGGGGUGAAAUCCAUAGAGAUCGGGAGGAACACCAAUGGCGAAGGCAGUGCACUGGACGUUUCCUGACGCUGAGGUGCGAAAGCGUGGGGAGCGAACGGGAUUAGAUACCCCGGUAGUCC
This 424-nucleotide ribosomal RNA is filed under the name uncultured bacterium. Its description in RNAcentral is "bacterial SSU rRNA". It matches the Rfam family "Bacterial small subunit ribosomal RNA", at positions 355 to 796 of the family's 1533-position model. The record is from RNAcentral.